Pelobates cultripes (western spadefoot toad) is the source of this 201-nucleotide non-coding RNA. The record is from the annotation of a GenBank genome assembly. Lineage: Eukaryota; Metazoa; Chordata; Amphibia; Anura; Pelobatidae.
CUUUAAAAACAUAUUUUUAAUAUCUUAUCAAUAUGUCCUAAGGUGGCAUCUUCUCCCAUCAUGCUGUAUGCACCCGCUAUCCAGUGAUGCUCUUGUCACACUUGCGCAUCAACAUUGAAUAACACAAGAUAUUUUUUUUUAAUGCCAGGCUGUGCACUGUUAGCCUUUUAUAUCAUGGAAAAAAAAAAGUUUGCUAUUUAG